Molecule: ribosomal RNA, 393 nt
Filed under: uncultured bacterium
Lineage: Bacteria
Description: partial 16S ribosomal RNA
Rfam family: Bacterial small subunit ribosomal RNA
Source: RNAcentral
AUACGGAGGAUCCGAGCGUUAUCCGGAUUUAUUGGGUUUAAAGGGUGCGUAGGCGGCCUUUUAAGUCAGCGGUGAAAGUCUGUGGCUCAACCAUAGAAUUGCCGUUGAAACUGGGAGGCUUGAGUAUGUUUGAGGCAGGCGGAAUGCGUGGUGUAGCGGUGGAAUGCUUAGAUAUCACGCAGAACCCCGAUUGCGAAGGCAGCCUGCCAAGCCAUGACUGACGCUGAUGCACGAAAGCGUGGGGAUCAAACAGGAUUAGAUACCCUGGUAGUCCACGCGGUAAACGAUGAUCACUAGCUGUUUGCGAUACACUGUAAGCGGCACAGCGAAAGCGUUAAGUGAUCCACCUGGGGAGUACGCCGGCAACGGUGAAACUCAAAUGAAUUGGCGGGG